GAUGAACGCUGGCGGCGUGCCUAAUACAUGCAAGUCGAGCGAACAGACGAGGAGCUUGCUCCUCUGACGUUAGCGGCGGACGGGUGAGUAACACGUGGAUAACCUACCUCUAAGACUGGGAUAACUUCGGGAAACUGGAGCUACUACCGGAUAAUAUAUUGAACCGCAUGGUUCAAUAGUGAAAGACGGUUUUGCUGACACUUAUAGAUGGAUCCGCGCCGCAUUAGCUAGUUGGUAAGGUAACGGCUUACCAAGGCGACGAUGCGUAGCCGACCUGAGAGGGUGAUCGGCCACACUGGAACUGAGACACGGUCCAGACUCCUACGGGAGGCAGCAGUAGGGAAUCUUCCGCAAUGGGCGAAAGCCUGACGGAGCAACGCCGCGUGAGUGAUGAAGGUCUUCGGAUCGUAAAACUCUGUUAUUAGGGAAGAACAAAUGUGGAAGUAACUAUGCACGUCUUGACGGUACCUAAUCAGAAAGCCACGGCUAACUACGUG
RNAcentral lists this ribosomal RNA (497 nucleotides) under uncultured bacterium. RNAcentral's name for it is "partial 16S ribosomal RNA". It matches the Rfam family "Bacterial small subunit ribosomal RNA", at positions 28 to 507 of the family's 1533-position model. The record is from RNAcentral.